CGGCCGGUGCGCCAUUUGGCGUCAGUAGCCAUGGCGAGAAUUAUGUCUAAAGGGGAUAAUAUUUCUAUAUACUCGAGAGCUAGCAGUCUCCAAGGGUUUCUUUCUCUGAUGGGAAGAAGAGCGAACCCCAGAAAGUUGCUGGUGCUGCACAAUGCUUGGGAGAAUUAUAUCAGCACUUUGGAAGAAGAAUUACAUCGGGAUUGCUUGAAACAACUAUUAUUGCAACCAAACUUAUGAAGUUUCAUGAGGAGUUUGUGAGACAAGAAGCUUUACUGAUGCUCC
This 282-nucleotide unclassified non-coding RNA is filed under the name Hevea brasiliensis (rubber tree). The record is from RNAcentral. Lineage: Eukaryota; Viridiplantae; Streptophyta; Magnoliopsida; Malpighiales; Euphorbiaceae.